This 301-nucleotide ribosomal RNA is filed under the name uncultured bacterium. Its description in RNAcentral is "partial 16S ribosomal RNA". It matches the Rfam family "Bacterial small subunit ribosomal RNA", at positions 509 to 807 of the family's 1533-position model. The record is from RNAcentral.
CAGCCGCCACGGUAAUACGUAGGUGGCAAGCGUUGUCCGGAAUUAUUGGGCGUAAAGGGCUCGCAGGCGGUUUCUUAAGUCUGAUGUGAAAGCCCCCGGCUCAACCGGGGAGGGUCAUUGGAAACUGGGAAACUUGAGUGCAGAAGAGGAGAGUGGAAUUCCACGUGUAGCGGUGAAAUGCGUAGAUAUAUGGAGGAACGCCGGUGGCGGAAGCGGCUCUCUGGUCUGUAACUGACGCUGAGGCUCGAAAGCGUGGGGAGCGAACAGGAUUAGAUACCCCAGUAGUCCCUGUCUCUUAUAC